This 30-nucleotide non-coding RNA is filed under the name Homo sapiens (human). The record is from RNAcentral. Lineage: Eukaryota; Metazoa; Chordata; Mammalia; Primates; Hominidae. RNAcentral also lists the same sequence under 1 other name.
UAAGAGCCACUAAGAGCUGUGGAGGCAGGU